RNAcentral lists this transfer RNA (83 nucleotides) under Candidatus Moraniibacteriota bacterium. RNAcentral's name for it is "Candidatus Moranbacteria bacterium tRNA-Leu". It matches the Rfam family "tRNA". From Rfam's summary of the family: Transfer RNA (tRNA) molecules are approximately 80 nucleotides in length. Lineage: Bacteria; Candidatus Moraniibacteriota. The record is from RNAcentral.
GCCCGAGUGGUGAAAUGGUAUACACGCUAGUUUUAGGAACUAGUACCAGUAAUGGUGUGGAGGUUCAAGUCCUCUCUCGGGCA